This is a small nuclear RNA of Myotis lucifugus (little brown bat), 107 nucleotides long. The record is from Ensembl. Lineage: Eukaryota; Metazoa; Chordata; Mammalia; Chiroptera; Vespertilionidae.
GUCCUGUCUUCAGCAGCACAUAUACUAAAAUUGGAAUGAUACAGAGAAGAUUAGCAUGGCCCCUGUGCAAGGAUGACAUGAAAAUUCAUGAAGCAUUCCAUAUUUUU